This 484-nucleotide ribosomal RNA is filed under the name uncultured bacterium. Its description in RNAcentral is "partial 16S ribosomal RNA". It matches the Rfam family "Bacterial small subunit ribosomal RNA", at positions 29 to 507 of the family's 1533-position model. The record is from RNAcentral.
AUUGAACGCUGGCGGCAUGCUUUACACAUGCAAGUCGGACGGCAGCGCGGGCUUCGGCCUGGCGGCGAGUGGCGAACGGGUGAGUAAUACAUCGGAACGUGCCCAGUAGUGGGGGAUAGCUCGGCGAAAGCCGGAUUAAUACCGCAUACGACCUGAGGGUGAAAGCGGGGGAUCUUCGGACCUCGCGCUAUUGUAGCGGCCGAUGGCAGAUUAGCUAGUUGGUGGGGUAAAGGCCUACCAAGGCGACGAUCUGUAGCUGGUCUGAGAGGACGACCAGCCACACUGGGACUGAGACACGGCCCAGACUCCUACGGGAGGCAGCAGUGGGGAAUUUUGGACAAUGGGCGAAAGCCUGAUCCAGCAAUGCCGCGUGUGUGAUGAAGGCCUUCGGGUUGUAAAGCACUUUUGGCGGGAACGAAAAGGACUGUGCCAAUACCACGGUUCGAUGACGGUACCCGCAGAAUAAGCACCGGCUAACUACGUG